Molecule: small nuclear RNA, 145 nt
Organism: Fukomys damarensis (Damara mole-rat)
Lineage: Eukaryota; Metazoa; Chordata; Mammalia; Rodentia; Bathyergidae
Product: U4 spliceosomal RNA
Exons: 1
Source: RefSeq, a predicted model, not a curated record
AGCUUUGUGCAGUAGCAGUAUUGUAGCCAAUGAGGUUUAUCUGAGGUGCGAUUAUUGCUAAUUGAAAACUUUUCCCAGGCUAUUAAGUUCAUGGUCAGGUGGCUCAAAGAAAGAAAUAUAGUGGAAGGGUUUGGCAGAGGAAACU